RNAcentral lists this ribosomal RNA (315 nucleotides) under uncultured Pseudothermotoga sp. Its description in RNAcentral is "bacterial SSU rRNA". It matches the Rfam family "Bacterial small subunit ribosomal RNA", at positions 464 to 778 of the family's 1533-position model. Lineage: Bacteria; Thermotogati; Thermotogota; Thermotogae; Thermotogales; Thermotogaceae. The record is from RNAcentral.
GAUCGAUGACGGUACCUCACGAGAAAGCCCCGGCUAACUACGUGCCAGCAGCCGCGGUAAUACGUAGGGGGCGAGCGUUACCCGGAUUCACUGGGCGUAAAGGGGGCGCAGGCGAUCCAGUAUGUCGGGUGUGAAAUCCCACAGCUCAACUGUGGAAUUGCGCCCGAAACUACUGGGUUUGGGGCUGGUAGAGGGAGACGGAACUGCUGGUGUAGGGGUGAAAUCCGUAGAUAUCAGCAGGAACGCCGGUGGGGAAGCCGGUCUCCUGGGCCAAGCCCGACGCUGAGGCCCGAAAGCUAGGGGAGCAAACCGGAU